GCGUACCUGAUCGCAGCCUGACGCAGCGACGCCGCGUGAGGGAUGAAGGCCUUCGGGUCGUAAACCUCUGUCAGGAGGGAAGAAGUGUAUGGGUGCUAAUCAGGACCCAUAUUUGACGGUACCUCCAAAGGAAGCACCGGCUAACUCCGUGCCAGCCGCCGCCGUUAUUA
This 170-nucleotide ribosomal RNA is filed under the name uncultured delta proteobacterium. RNAcentral's name for it is "partial 16S ribosomal RNA". It matches the Rfam family "Bacterial small subunit ribosomal RNA", at positions 366 to 525 of the family's 1533-position model. The record is from RNAcentral. Lineage: Bacteria; Deltaproteobacteria.